Molecule: long non-coding RNA, 2753 nt
Filed under: Homo sapiens (human)
Lineage: Eukaryota; Metazoa; Chordata; Mammalia; Primates; Hominidae
Description: HSALNT0264861
Source: RNAcentral
UUCCCUCCCCUAUCAUAUCCCUUCACGAUGUGCCUUUGCUGCUCCUCCCAUCAACAGAUGGAGUCUAUUUCUCCACCCCUUGAAUCCACGCUGGUCUUGCGACUUGGCCAAUAGAACGUGGUGCAACCAAGUCCAGGCCUCAAGAGGCCCAGCACACUUCCAUUGCUCCCUUGGAAACCCGUCCAACCUGUGCUGUGAACAUGCCUGGGCCAGCCUCCCAGAGGAGGCGAGAAUGCAAAGCAGAAGGAGCCGUUCCCGCUGAGACCAUCGGGACCAGCUAGUGCCCAGAUGAGCCAGCAGCUCCCUCCAGAUGCAGGGGUGAGGCCCAUUUGAGGCCAGCUGAGCCCAGUCCAGAUCCAAAGAACCAUUCAGACCAUCCACAGACUUUUCUGGAACUGGGAAGUUCAAGGCUGAGGAGCUGCAUCUGGUGAGGGUCUUCUUGCUGGUGGCCUUCUUCUGCAGAGUCCUGAGGUGCUGCAGGGGAUCUUGUGGCAGAGUACUGCUGUGACAAACCACCACAAACCGUGUGGCCAACAACACAGAAAUUCAUCCUCUCAUGGCUCUGGGGGCCAGAAGUCCAAUGUCAAGGUGUCAGAUGCUCAGUGAGGACGCACCUGAGGUUCCAGUCCUGACAGCAAAGGUGACCGCCCUGGACCUCAGUCAGCUCAUCUGCAGAAUGGCUAGGUGAGCUCAAGGGUUUCUUCCUUCUGGCACAUUCCCAGCGCAAAUCCUGUCGGUCCCUCGGCAUCUAUGCUGCUGAUUUGGGUCUACUCCAGGGCUUUACAAAUAUACAUAUCUCUAAGCAUAGAACAUAUAUUUUAUUGUAGUAAAAUACACAUAACAUAAAAUUCACCAUUUUAACCUUUUUGUUUUGUUUUGAGCCAGGGUCUCUCUCUGUCACCCAGGCUGGAGUGCAGUGGCACCAUCACGGCUCACUGCAGCCUCCACCCGCCUCAGCCUCCUGAGUAGUCAGGACCACAGGUAUGCAUCACCACACCCAGCUAACUCUUGUAUUUUUUUUUGUAGAGAUGAAGUCUCAUUAUGUUGCCCAGGCUGGUCUCAAACUCCUGGGCUCAAGCAAUCCACCUGCCUCAGCUUCCCGAAGUGGGAUUACAGGUGUGAGCCACCGUGCCUGGCCCCACUUUAACCAUUUUUAAGUGUGGAAUUCAGUGGCAUUAAGCACACUCAUAUGGUUGUGUAACCAUCACCAUUAUCCAUAUCAUCUUUCACAAAGAUGAAAUAAGAAGACUCAUUCUCAGGCCCCUCGGGCCUCAGAGUGUCCUUCAUGGGUAAAGCAUCUUAUAGAAGAUGCCUCUACUACAGAGCUCACUAUCCUGGUGGAGAUGUGAAGAUCAGGAUGUUAGAAAAGGAGGCAGACAGGACUGAGGAUGGUGGUGAAUCCAAAGCAAUACCCCCGGCUCCUCCUCCUGCAGGAUCUGCCCUGUCUUGUCACCAUGUCUUCUCCUUGCUGUCCACCCGUGUUCUUUUUUCCCCUCUAGACCAGAAGUUCUUAAAGCCUGGUCCCUGGACCAGCAACAUCAGUACCUCCUGGGAGCUUGUUAGAAAAGCAGAUUUUCUGUGCUCACCCCUACCCACUGAAUCAGAAAUGAGGGUGAGGUGUGGUGGCUGUUUCACAGCCCUCCCGGGAUUCUGAUCCAUGCUAAAGAGUGGGAAGCACUGCUCCGGAUCUGCAGAGAAAUCCUGCUUUCAAAGAACUCACUAACGCCCCUACAAAACUACAAUUUUUAUGACUAGAAGCUCUGUGAAUACCUUAAACAAGGAAGCUGACAGAUUUAGUAAGAUCGCGUAGGUCAUGAUCGCAAAUGGGCUGCCCAAGGGCACGUCUUUCCCUUGGGUUUGUGCAUUUGUCCUGCACACAAUUAAAAACAUUUAACUAGUUGCCAGUAUUAAAGAAAUAGAAACUUCCACGUAGAAAUUCAGAUUUUGGCAUUAUUUGAAAUAAUACUGUCUGGCAGUCCUGAUAUGUCUUGGCCUAGGUCCAAGCAUGGGCCACCAUGACUCGAUGCAGGGACUGCCAGGCAGCCCAAGUCCCCCUACGCCCCAAGGCAAGUCCGCCUGGUGAGCCCACCCCCCCAUUUUUAUCUGCACUGACUGCUGUAGGGCUUUCGAGUUGUCAACCUCUGUAUGUGAAGGGGGACCACAAACUGUAGCCCUCUGUGAUUGUUAAUGUUAUAUGUCAGCUUGGCUAGGCCACGGCAUCCAAAUAUUUGGUCAAACACUAGUCUAGAUGUUGUGAAGGUAAUUUCUUUUAGGUGAGAGUAACAGUUAUAUCAGUGGACUUUGAUGAAAGCAGAUUGCCCUCCAUAAUGUGGGUGGGCCUCAUCCAAUCAGUUGAAGGCCUUCAAAGAAAAAAGACUGACUCCCUGCAGGAAGAGGGAGUUCUGCCAGCCUCCACGGUCACAUAAGCCAAUUCCUUAAAAUAAGCCCCUCUCUCUCUCUCUCUCCUCCUCUCUCCACACAUGCAUACAAAACACACACACACACACACACACACACACACACACACACAAAUGGUUCUAUGUCUCUGUAGAAUCCUGACGAACAACCCAUGCUGUGAGUAUUAUUAUUUGUUGGUGACCCUGGACCAUUCAGGCACCAAGAGGUGCAGGAACUCUUCUUCCGUUUGCUGGCAGCUCUUAGGGAUACACGCUCAUUCAAACCAUGCCCUCAGAGAUGGAGGCUGCAAAGCUAAUGAGUAGUAUUAUAAUAUUAAUAACAAGAAAUAAAUAAUC